CUUAAAUGAUGAUAAUUAAAAAGUCAGUUCUGCUACUGAAUGCAUGUGACGAUAAUUCUUUUUUCUGAAGU
Molecule: small nucleolar RNA, 71 nt
Organism: Atta colombica
Lineage: Eukaryota; Metazoa; Arthropoda; Insecta; Hymenoptera; Formicidae
Source: Rfam